Megalobrama amblycephala (Wuchang bream) is the source of this 2146-nucleotide long non-coding RNA. RefSeq lists it as uncharacterized. The transcript has 5 exons. The record is from RefSeq and is a predicted model, not a curated record. Lineage: Eukaryota; Metazoa; Chordata; Actinopteri; Cypriniformes; Xenocyprididae.
AGCCUAUCGUGUAAUGACCUCUGGUCUCCUUUCCUGCGUACCGCCAGUACCGCCCGUGCAUACCGCCACAGCCACCGUUAGCAUUAGCCGUUACGCUUUUUUGGCUGCAUUCUAGGGGCUUUGCUAAAGUUACAGGUCCAGUACAUUCUUGAUGGAUAGAAUCCAUUAUUCCCUGUUGCACACUUAAGUUUGAGUAUCUUUCAGAUUGGACAGGAGGACACUCCCUUUAGAGCGUCCUGUCGGCAUGAUGUUUUUAAACCAACCGUCCAUCUCUCUGCCCCAUGGCCUGUUUUGAUGCCCAGUGACCUGAGAAAGUCACUCAUGGUUUUGGAACAUGUGCGAGGCUGGAUUAUGGAUAGAGCCAUUGGGCCUAACGCCCCAGGACCUCGGACUGCCAGGGGCCUCCAAAGCCUUAGGCUGCGCACCCCAAUACUGCCAAAGUUAGUCAUUUGAAGAGGCGCAGGUGCUGUGCUGAGGGUCAAGGCGCUGAUUCAAUCUCAGCCCUCGAGAGAGAGCAAGAGAGAGAGAAGAUGAGUGUGAGGAAACGGACAGGGAGAGCAAACGCUGCAGAUGAAAAAGAGGUGGGAGGCUCACAUCUCACAGGUGGAGAGCCGAAGACAGACAGACAGACAGGAAGACAGGCACCAUAAGGUGUUUAUUUGGUUGCUAGAAGAUGGUCGAUAUUCCCUUAGGACUCAAACUUUGUAAAUAGCCCACUCCAGGGAAAGAAAGAGGAGUAGAUAUGGGCCCCAUAGGGAACCCGUGUAUUUCAGCAUAUAGCACCCCGUCUCACACAUGCAACACACUUAUAAUGAAGCUAAGAUUGGAUUUAUGGUAGUCCAUACUUCACCUCACACAUACGCUAUAUAGGUGAGCAGACAUCCAUUCACACAUAUGUCGUUGUGGACAUUACUGACCUGCGGCCCACUAACGUCUCCACACACUGUAAUGGUGACUGAUCUCUCUCUUUUUCCUCUCUCUCUUUCUGAUGGUUUCAGGAGGCAGAACCUGCUGCGUGAACAGGCGGUAUUACCAUACAAAUCAGCGAAGCAUUUUCUCCACGUCUGCGCUACACGCACACUGACACACACUCUAUCACACGCUGAUUUCGAAUUCAAACAUCAGAUGCAAACUCCAUUCUGUUCUUCUGUAACUAUGAAGGCCAGUUUGUAUCAUGAUUAUCACAACACAUAGACAGGACAUCACUGAUGCGCACAUAAUACACGACACCAGAGACUGACAGAUAGAUAGAGAGAGAGAGCGAUCAUGUCUGCAGUUACUCAGUACAUUAUGAGAAUGAAUAAAAUAAGAUUUUUGAGGUCUGAAGAAAAUGUGAGUGUCAUGGGUGUUUGCCACUGCCAGGGAGUUGCUGUGUGGUUGCUAGGGUGUUAUGGUUUACAUUUAAUCAUUUAGCAGACACUUUUGUCCAAAGCGACUUACAAAUGGGAACAAUAGAUGCAGCUGAAUCAACAAAAAACAAUAUGUCAGUGCUGUGACAAAUCCCAGUUAGUCUAGCACAGUACACGUAGCGAGGUGUUUUAUUUAUUUAUUUAUUUAUAUAUAAAUACAUAUUGAUGUAUAGAAAUUUGAUAGAGUUCAACAGUUCCCGCCCCCUUUUUCAGCAGUGCUGGUUCUGGAAGUAUUUUUUCCAUUCAUUUUUCCCAUAGGGUUUUUAAAAUAGUCUUCAUUAAAGAGUAAUAAGCCAUGAACCAAGCCAACCAGCUACGAGGUGAAUCAUAGCACUACAAACUUUGAUUUGAAGCAAAAAUGUUUCCAAUACCUGGCCCUGCCUUAAUGCAUUAUUGACAGGGUGGGGUGGGGACGUGAUCUGCUCAGAAUGCAUUUUCAAAAUCCACAUUGAAUUUUGCUACAUUGAUUGUGUAAUAUUUAAUGAAAAUGCAAUCGCAAGUGUCUGUGAGUAUAAAUGCAAUUAAAGACCCCCUGUGGUGAAAAUCAAGUUUUAAAUGUUGUUUAUAUGUCUAUGUGGUGUUUUUAAUAUUCAUAAGUCAGCACCAUUGCUGAGUAUUUUAUGUUUGAAACUGCAGUAAACCAAAGACAGACAAAAACCCGCGGUUUGAAAUCGGUUGUGUUUAUGACGUCACAUACUACUUCGUAACCAAUCACAACAAUGUGCCGGCAGGCUUUA